AUACAGGGCUACUUCUAGUCUUGUAAUUGGAAUGAGUACAACUUACAUCUCUUCACGAGGAUCAAUUGGAGGGCAAGUCUGGUGCCAGCAGCCGCGGUAAUUCCAGCUCCAAUAGCGUAUAUUAAAGUUGUUGCAGUUAAAAAGCUCGUAGUCGGAUUUCGGGUCGGGCCGAGCGGUCUGCCGAUGGGUAUGCACUGUUUGGCGCGGCCUUCUUUCCGGAGACCGCGGCUACUCUUAACUGAGCGGGCGUGGGAGACGGAUCGUUUACUUUGAAAAAAUCAGAGUGUUUCAAGCAGGCAUCUCGCUCUUGCAUGGAUUAGCAUGGGAUAAUGAAAUAGGACUUUGGUGCUAUUUUGUUGGUUUCGAACACCGAAGUAAUGAUUAACAGGGACAGUCAGGGGCACUCGUAUUCCGUCGAGAGAGGUGAAAUUCUCAGACCAACGGAAGACGAACCACUGCGAAAGCAUUUGCCAGGGAUGUUUUCACUGAUCAAGAACGAAAGUUAGGGGAUCGAAGACGAUCAGAUACCGUCGUAGUCUUAACCAUAAACCAUGCCGACUAGGGAUUGGAGGGUGUUCGUUUCGACCUCUUCAGCACCUUACGGGAAACUAAAGUCUUUGGGUUCCGGGGGGAGUAUGGUCGCAAGGCUGAAACUUAAAGGAAUUGACGGAAGGGCACCACCAGGAGUGGAGCCUGCGGCUUAAUUUGACUCAACACGGGGAAACUUACCAGGUCCAGACAUUGUUAGGAUUGACAGAUUGAGAGCUCUUUCUUGAUUCGAUGGGUGGUGGUGCAUGGCCGUUCUUAGUUGGUGGAGUGAUUUGUCUGGUUAAUUCCGUUAACGAACGAGACCGUAGCCUGCUAAAUAGUUCCGCGAACUUCUUGUUGGCGGUCGACUUCUUAGAGGGACAACUUGUGACCAACAAGUGGAAGUUUGCGGCAAUAACAGGUCUGUGAUGCCCUUAGAUGUUCUGGGCCGCACGCGCGCUACACUGAAGCACUCAACGAGUCCACCUCGACCGACAGGUCUGGGAAACCUUUUGAAAUUGCUUCGUGAUGGGGAUAGAUUAUUGCAA
RNAcentral lists this ribosomal RNA (1076 nucleotides) under Haptophyta environmental samples. RNAcentral's name for it is "SSU rRNA". It matches the Rfam family "Eukaryotic small subunit ribosomal RNA", at positions 483 to 1589 of the family's 1831-position model. Lineage: Eukaryota; Haptophyta. The record is from RNAcentral.